CAUGUCUACGGGGGGCAGCAGUGGGGAAUAUUGCGCAAUGGGCGAAAGCCUGACGAAGCGACGCCGCGUGAGGGAUGAAGGUGUUCGGAUCGUAAACCUCUGUCAGCAGGGAAGAACGGUCACUGUGCUAAUCAGCAGUGAAUUGACGGUACCUGCAAAGGAAGCACCGGCUAACUCCGUGCCAGCAGCCGAGGUAAUACGGAGGGAGCGAGCGUUAAUCGGAAUUACUGGGCGUAAAGCGCUCGUAGGCGGUAUGUCAAGUCAAGGGUGAAAUCCCCGCGCCCAACGUGGGAACUGCCUUUGAA
This 305-nucleotide ribosomal RNA is filed under the name uncultured bacterium. RNAcentral describes it as "bacterial SSU rRNA". It matches the Rfam family "Bacterial small subunit ribosomal RNA", at positions 334 to 631 of the family's 1533-position model. The record is from RNAcentral.